CCGAAUCCGAGUUACUAACACUGUUAAAUAUAGAAUAAAAUCAGCACAAGCCAAGGUACUUACCAGAACUAGGCUGAGACGUGCUUGGGGCUGAUCGCCCUGCAGAGUAUUUUCGGUGAUCUGGAAAACAUCAAGGAUAAGAGACAGAUUCGUCUCUCCUACUUGAGCUUCCGUCACCAGUGACAACAGACUCUUCAAGAAGCUUGUCCCGCACCUCCAUCUCCCAACUGUUGAAACGCACUCUCUUUGUGGAGUGCAUCAAUGACAUCUUCUUUUUGAC
This is a long non-coding RNA of Bombina bombina (fire-bellied toad), 280 nucleotides long. RefSeq lists it as uncharacterized. NCBI's taxonomy places the organism in Eukaryota, Metazoa, Chordata, Amphibia, Anura, Bombinatoridae. The transcript is spliced from 3 exons. The record is from RefSeq and is a predicted model, not a curated record.